This 253-nucleotide ribosomal RNA is filed under the name uncultured bacterium. Its description in RNAcentral is "partial 16S ribosomal RNA". It matches the Rfam family "Bacterial small subunit ribosomal RNA", at positions 524 to 776 of the family's 1533-position model. The record is from RNAcentral.
UACGAAGGGAGCGAGCGUUGUUCGGAUUUACUGGGCGUAAAGGGCGCGCAGGCGGUUCUGUUUGUCGAGUGUGAAAGCCCCGGGCUCAACCUGGGAACUGCGCUCGAAACGGCGGAACUAGAGUUCGGGAGAGGAGAGUGGAAUUCCCAGUGUAGAGGUGAAAUUCGUAGAUAUUAGGAAGAACACCAGUGGCGAAGGCGGCCAACUGGCCCGAUACUGACGCUCAUGUGCGAAAGCGUGGGGAGCAAACAGG